AAAAAUACAAAAAAUAAGCCGGGCGUGGUGGCAUGCGCCUGUAAUCCCAGCUACUCGGGAGGCUAAGGCAGGAGAAUUGCUUGAACCUGGGAGGUGGUGGAGGUUGCAGUGAGCCGAGAUCAUGCCUUUGCACUCCAGCUUGGGUAACAAGACUGAAACUCCGUCUCAAAAAAAAAGGAAAUGAGGUGAAGUUAGAGUGCAGUGAGUCUUCCUGGGUGGCUCAAGUGUGGAUUUUAAAAGUAGUUCCCAAAGAGGCAUUCAGGCAUUCAGGGAAUGUUUGCAGCCCUGCAGCAUCUCUGAACCCCAGAGGGGUGUCAGCCAGUUCUCACCUGGACAUGUGCGCUGGUGCGGAUCUGUACAUGGGUCCUGCACAGUCACGCACACCCUCUGCACACCUGCCUCUGUGAGGCUGAUGCAGAUCCCUGUCUUCACCUCUAUCCCUGCUGCUGCACAAACUGCAUUCUGCUGCCCUGCUUUUCUCCGACCCUCUAUUCCCGUCCCCUGUUCUGCCCUGGCUGGCUGCCCCAGUGGAUGCCCGCACCUGCUCCUGCCUGUCUUCCCCACUACAUCGUGACCCCCCAGUGAACCCCAAGUGGCAUGGGCUGGGCACAGAGGAGCCCUCCACAGAUGCAUGCGAGGAACGUUCCCCACCUAAGCCCCCUCGUGACAGGCCAGGUCUGGGUCACUCUGAGGGUGUCUAGAGGACCCCAGCUUGGGAGAAGAGUUACUGUUAUAACACUUGUCUUUUGGCUGGAGAUACCUGAGACUUUGAGAUUGUCAGGGAGGCUUUGGGAUUGACGCCACAUGUCUCAGGUCCCCAGCUGGUCAAGUGUCAUUUGUCCCUAGGCCCAGGCCAUGGCUAUGAUGGGGAGGAGAGAGCGGUGAGUGAUAGCUUCGGGCCUGGAGAGUGGGAUGACCAGAAAGUGCGACACACUUUUAUCCGAAAGGUUUACUCCAUCAUCUCCGUGCAGCUGCUCAUCACUGUGGCCAUCAUCGCUAUCUUCACCUUUGUGGAACCUGUCAGCGCCUUUGUGAGGAGAAAUGUGGCUGUCUACUACGUGUCCUAUGCUGUCUUCGUUGUCACCUACCUGAUCCUUGCCUGCUGCCAGGGACCCAGACGCCGUUUCCCAUGGAACAUCAUCCUGCUGACCCUUUUUACUUUUGCCAUGGGCUUCAUGACAGGCACCAUUUCCAGUAUGUACCAAACCAAAGCCGUCAUCAUUGCAAUGAUCAUCACUGCGGUGGUAUCCAUUUCAGUCACCAUCUUCUGCUUUCAGACCAAGGUGGACUUCACCUCGUGCACAGGCCUCUUCUGUGUCCUGGGAAUUGUGCUCAUGGUGACUGGGAUUGUCACUAGCAUUGUGCUCUACUUCCAAUAUGUUUACUGGCUCCACAUGCUCUACGCUGCUCUGGGGGCCAUUUGUUUCACCCUGUUCCUGGCUUACGACACACAGCUGGUCCUGGGGAACCGGAAGCACACCAUCAGCCCGGAGGACUACAUCACUGGCGCCCUGCAGAUUUACACAGACAUCAUCUACAUCUUCACCUUUGUGCUGCAGCUGAUGGGGGAUCGCAAUUAAGGAACAAGCCCCCAUUUUCACCCGAUCCUGGGCUCUCCCUUCCAAGCUAGAGGGCUGGGCCCUGUGACUGUGGUCUGGGCUUCAGGCCCCUUUCCUUCCCCUUGAGUAACAUGCCCAGUUUCCUUUCUGUCCUGGAGACAGGUGGCCUCUCUGGCUAUGGAUGUGUGGGUACUUGGUGGGGACGGAGGAGCUAGGGACUAACUGUUGCUCUUGGUGGGCUUGGCAGGGACUAGGCUGAAGAUGUGUCUUCUCCCCACCACCUACUAUAUGACACCACAUUCUUCCUAACAGCUGGGGUUGGGAGGAAGAUGAAAAGAGCCUAUUCGAUAGCUAGAAGGGAAUAUGAAAGGUAGAAGUGACUUCAAGGUCACGAGGUUCCUCUCCCACCUCUGUCACAGGCUUCUUGGCUACGUAGUUGGAGCUGUUUCUUCCCCCAGCAAAGCCAGAGAGCUUUGUCCCUGGCCUCCUGGACACAUAGGCCAUUAUCCUGUAUUCCUUUGGCUUGGCAUCUUUUAGCUCAGGAAGGUAGAAGAGAUCUGUGCCCAUGGGUCUCCUUGCUUCAAUCCCUUCUUGUUUCAGUGACAUAUGUAUUGUUUAUCUGGGUUAGGGAUGGGGGACAGAUAAAAGAACGAGCAAAGUAACCUAUACAGGCCAGCACGGAGUAGCAUCUCUCCUGGGCUUGCUCCUGGCUUGUGACGGUAUAAGACAGAGCAGGCCACAUGUGGCCAUCUGCUUCCCAUUCUUGAAAGCUGCUGGGGCCUCCUUGCAGGCUUCUGGAUCUCUGGUCAGAGUGAACUCUUGCUUCCUGUAUUCAGGCAGCUCAGAGCAGAAAGUAAGGGGCAGAGUCAUAUGUGUGGCCAGGAAGUAGCCAGGGUGAAGAGAGACUCGGUGCGGGCAGGGAGAAUGCCUGGGGGGUCCCUCACCUGGCUAGGGAGAUACUGAAGCCUACUGUGGUACUGAAGACUUCUGGGUUCUUUCCUUCUGCUAACCCAGGGAGGGUCCUAAGAGGAAGGUGACUCCUCUCUGUCUUAAGUUGCACUGGGGGAUUUCUGACUUGAGGCCCAUCUCUCCAGCCAGCCACUGCCUUCUUUGUAAUAUUAAGUGCCUUGAGCUGGAAUGGGGAAGGGGGACAAGGGUCAGUCUGUCGGGUGGGGGCAGAAAUCAAAUCAGCCCAAGGAUAUAGUUAGGAUUAAUUACUUAAUAGAGAAAUCCUAACUAUAUCACACAAAGGGAUACAACUAUAAAUGUAAUAAAGUUUAUGUCUAGAAGUU
RNAcentral lists this small RNA (2851 nucleotides) under Pongo abelii (Sumatran orangutan). RNAcentral describes it as "retained intron". The record is from RNAcentral. Lineage: Eukaryota; Metazoa; Chordata; Mammalia; Primates; Hominidae.